GAAGAAAGAAGGGAGCAAGUAGCUAAAAUUAAGAAGAUGGAGAUGGAGAUGGAGCAGGUGUUUGAAAUGAAGGUCAAAGAAAAAGUUCAAAAACUGAAGGACUCUGAAGCUGAGCUCCAGCGGCGCCAUGAGCAAAUGAAAAAGAAUUUGGAAGCACAGCACAAAGAAUUGGAGGAAAAACGUCGUCAGUUUGAGGAUGAGAAAGCAAACUGGGAAGCUCAACAACGUAUUUUAGAACAACAGAACUCUUCAAGAACCUUGGAAAAGAACAAGAAGAAAGGGCAGAUCUUUUAAACCCUCUA
This 302-nucleotide long non-coding RNA is filed under the name Homo sapiens (human). Its description in RNAcentral is "non-protein coding lnc-SEPT7-2:2". The record is from RNAcentral. Lineage: Eukaryota; Metazoa; Chordata; Mammalia; Primates; Hominidae.